Molecule: long non-coding RNA, 1175 nt
Filed under: Piliocolobus tephrosceles (Ugandan red Colobus)
Lineage: Eukaryota; Metazoa; Chordata; Mammalia; Primates; Cercopithecidae
Description: lncRNA (ENSPTEG00000000486.1)
Source: RNAcentral
CGCCUUUUAUUAGGUAGUGUGUGUACCAACGGAUUACACUUGUCUGAUGUGAAGGAAGAUACGCAUCAUCAAAUUUGUUCUACACCAAAUGAAAAAAAUAAUUCAGGUUUGCUACUAAAGCAUUAUGAUAAAAAAAAAAAUAAAAUAAAAUAAAAUAAUGACGAAUUUAAACGCAUAUUAAACAUGAGUGGGUUUUUAAUAUACAUAUAUAUGUACAUGUACGUGUUUGCGUGUCUAUUUUUAGGCUUGUGCUUUGCAGCGUUUGAUAAAAGACCAGAGAAAAUUUGCGUAACUUUUAGCAACGGUGAUGUCUGUUUGCUUUCUGAUCAAAAAGUAGUUAAAUUUUGGCGGGCGCAUGAAUACCAUGUAUGGAGCUGUGCAUUUGCUGGGAAUGAAAAUACGAUAAUAACAGGAUCAGAUGAUUGUUCUCUUAUUAUGUGGGAUAUGAGAACUAAUGAUGUAUGCCAAAAAAAUGCAAGAUCACAUUCACAAGGAGUUACAGACGUUAAGUUUGAAGAAUUGGGUCAGUUGCUUUAUACAUCAUGUUAUGACAAUAUGAUUCGUGUUUUUGAUAUUCGAAAUUUUCAAAAGCCUGUUAGAACGUUGGACGUGGAGUCGAGUAUAUGGAGAAUAAAGUUUUUAUAUAAAAAUGACACAAUGAAAAAGCUGUUAGUAGCAGCGUGCGAUGGAGGGGCAAAGAUUUUUAAAAAAAUAAACAAUGAUUUUAUCUUUGAAAAAGGUAUAUGUAAUAAUAAAGAAUUGACAUAUGGUAUUGACGUUAUAGAUGUUUUUGAUCGAGAGAAAAAAAAAAAAAAAAAAAUUUAUUUGUCUUGUUCUUUUUAUAAUAAAGAGGUGCAAAUGUGGGUUUAGCGGAUAUAUCAAAAAUAUUAACAGUAGGCAAUUUUUUUUAGCUAGUAAAAAUGGUACAAGUUUAAUAUGCAUAUGUGUACAUGUAUAUGCGCAUAUGGGUACAUGUAUAUAUGUGCAUAUACGUAUAAUGUAUAUAACAAAUUCAUUGCGUUUUUAUAAUAUGCUAACGAUAUUUUUGCAUAAUCAUGUCAGCAUAAGAAGGUAGGUACCUCCGUGAAAUUAUGUAACACAUUAUAUAUGAACAAAAAAAAAAAAAAAAAAAAAAAAAAAAUAAAGUAUUUAGAUAAACAAUAGGUCUAUUUUUU